RNAcentral lists this ribosomal RNA (522 nucleotides) under uncultured bacterium. Its description in RNAcentral is "bacterial SSU rRNA". It matches the Rfam family "Bacterial small subunit ribosomal RNA", at positions 773 to 1302 of the family's 1533-position model. The record is from RNAcentral.
AGUGAAUAGAUACCCAGGUAGUCCACGCCGUAAACGAUGGAUACUAGCUGUUCGGAGCAAAUCUGAGUGGCUAAAGCGAAAGUGAUAAGUAUCCCACCUGGGGAGUACGCACGCAAGUGUGAAACUCAAAGGAAUUGACGGGGGCCCGCACAAGCGGUGGAGCAUGUGGUUUAAUUCGAUGAUACGCGAGGAACCUUACCAGGGCUUAAAUGUAGAUUGACAGGACUGGAAACAGUUUUUCUUCGGACAAUUUACAAGGUGCUGCAUGGUUGUCGUCAGCUCGUGCCGUGAGGUGUCAGGUUAAGUCCUAUAACGAGCGCAACCCCUGUCGUUAGUUGCCAGCGAGUCAUGUCGGGAACUCUAACGAGACUGCCAGUGUAAACUGUGAGGAAGGUGGGGAUGACGUCAAAUCAUCACGGCCCUUACGUCCUGGGCCACACACGUGCUACAAUGGUAGGUACAGAGAGCAGCCACUGCGCGAGCAGGAGCGAAUCUACAAAACCUAUCUCAGUUCGGAUCGGA